GCGGAGAUGCCGGAGUGGUCAAACGGGCGAGGUUUAGGUCCUCGUAGCUUAGUGCUUACCAAGGUUCGAAUCCUUGUCUCCGCA
RNAcentral lists this transfer RNA (84 nucleotides) under Candidatus Pacearchaeota archaeon. RNAcentral's name for it is "tRNA-Leu". It matches the Rfam family "tRNA". From Rfam's summary of the family: Transfer RNA (tRNA) molecules are approximately 80 nucleotides in length. Their secondary structure includes four short double-helical elements and three loops (D, anti-codon, and T loops). Lineage: Archaea; Nanobdellati. The record is from RNAcentral.